GGGGACAUGAGAGGUGUAGUAUAAGUGGGAGCACGGUUCGGACUCGCCGGCCCUUGCGACAGUGAAAUACCACUACUUUCAUCGUUUCUUUACUGACUCGGUGAAGCGGAGAGCGGACCGAUGGGUCCACGUUUCCAGCCCCAAGCCGGGGCGGCCCAGCGCAGCCCCGGCGAUCCGCUCCGAGGACGGUUUCAGACAGGGAGUUUGACUGGGGCGGUACAUCUGUCAAAAGGUAACGCAGGUGUCCUAAGGCGAGCUCAGCGAGGACGGAAACCUCGCGCGGGCAU
This 287-nucleotide ribosomal RNA is filed under the name Physocyclus mexicanus. RNAcentral's name for it is "partial 28S ribosomal RNA". It matches the Rfam family "Eukaryotic large subunit ribosomal RNA", at positions 2445 to 2704 of the family's 3401-position model. The record is from RNAcentral. Lineage: Eukaryota; Metazoa; Arthropoda; Arachnida; Araneae; Pholcidae.